This 3447-nucleotide long non-coding RNA is filed under the name Nicotiana tabacum (common tobacco). RNAcentral's name for it is "long non-coding RNA (NTAB_LNC010304)". Lineage: Eukaryota; Viridiplantae; Streptophyta; Magnoliopsida; Solanales; Solanaceae. The record is from RNAcentral.
CUAUCUAUACCAUAUAUGAAACCUUAUUACAAAAAAUGUGCAUAUUUUCAUUAUUACCCGCCAUGUUUAUAUUUUUCCUACAAAAUUUAUACCAUUCAUUAAAUACCCAAUAUUAAGAGUUGAUUCCUUCCAAAUUAGGCACCUACAAAUCUGGGAUAAAUAUUUGAAUAGCUUAUUCCUUUCAAAUUAGGCGCCUAAAAUUUUGGGACUAAAUAUUUUUUCAUAUUCACAUCAGAUUUGUUUCCUCCUUUUUCUACAGGCUUCUCUUUCCUCAUUUUUCACGUAUUUCUAUUUCUCUAAGUAUAUACCAGUUUUCCCUUUCUAAAGCUCAGGGUCUUUUUGAUUUGGUUCUCCUCUUUUUUCUUUUAGGAAUGGCUGAGCAUAUUUAAAUAUGCAAGGCUCUGUUUUCGUCAACUAUUCGAAGGGAGGAGCUCUUGUUCUUGACGGGAGUGAGCUGAUGCGCUUGGGUCAACAAAUUUUCUACAAAAAUCUACAAAUAAACUACAAAUCAGUUUAAGUAUGUAUAAAGCAAUAUUGUUUUAAUGGUAUCUACAAAUUACUAUAUUUAUACUACAAUUAAAAUGCAAUCUAUAUUGAAAAAAAAUGUUGACUACAAAAUUUUCUUCUAAUCUACAAAUUUUCUACAAAAAAUCUACAAAGAAACUACAAAUCAAUUUACGUAUGUAUAAAGCAGUAUUGUUUUGAAGGGUAUCUACAAAAUUACUACAUUUAUACUACAAUUAAACUACAAUCUUAUGUGAAAAAAAAUGUUGACAACAAAAUUUGCUCUUCAUCUACAAAAUUUCUACAAAAAACUACAAAUAAACUACAAUUGCACCCAUACUGUCACACUUAUAUUGGGUCAGAUGUUUGUUAACCUAAGUUUUUUUCUAGUUUGGUCAAGAACUUGUGUGUCAAUGCCGGAUAAGUGUGACACUUGAAGAAUCUCUACCUUUAAAGAACCUCUAAAUUGCCUAAAAAGACAAUUUAUUUAAUAUUGAAAUAAUAUAGACAAAAUGGAGCCGGAGGUUACAGAAGAUUCAUAUGGCUACCCCACAAAUUUAUAAUUGAGAAUUGUUGAGUUGAUUGAUCGAUUGAGGAAGUCUUCUGUGUCAUACAUCUACUCUCGAUCUCGUAGUUGUUAAAAUUCAGAACAAUAUCUAACAAUUACCAGAAAUUACAAUAAUCGAAACAAUGGGUUUCAUAUUGAAUCUCUUUGGUUAAAAAUCUGAUUAUACUCAAUGGGUCUCAUCUCUGUAUUUUUUUAGAAGAGGAAGGAAUGGAGAUGAGAAAGAAAUGGGAGGGGAAAAACGACGCUGGUCAGAUCUUAGAAAUUAAGGGGAGAGAGAAACGUGAGAUAUAUGGAUACCUUUAAUUAAAGAGUAAAAACUGCCCAUUAAUUAACCCUUAAUUAAGUAUGGUAUAUGAUUGAUAAUUUGGUAUACGAGUUUGUAAUUAAAUCAAACCUUAAACAUUGAGAGUAAUAAGGUUUCUAUGUGGUAUAGGAAGGUAAAAAUCACUUAUCAUUAAUCAAGACAUAAAGUGGGCCUUUAGCCCAAAACCUUAUGUAUCUUCCAUCAUAGAAAGAGGCCCAGAAGCCUCUUAAGCCCAAUUCAAUAGUUCUGCCAAUUAACCCAAAAAAACAGCCCAAACUUUUGUAGCCCUACAUAUUUCUUUUUAAUAAAGACUAUUAGUGUUAAAGGAAAUUGAUAUCACAAUAGAGAAAGAAACCUAGUAAGCUUCUUUUUCUUUUAACAAUACUGUCGCCAGCUUCUUCUUUUUUAAAAAAUAAAAUUAAGAAGACUUUUGACUAUAGAAAGAAACCUAAUUUCUUUCUUUCUUCUUUUUUAGCCUUUACCGCCGCCUUUUUUCUUUACUGGAGCACAAAGCUCCAUCGUUACUGGAGCACAAAGCUCCAUCAAUAUUUGGAACAAAGAAAUCCUUGUUUCUAUCCUUUCUAUUGUUAUUCUGCCGCUUUCGUUAGAACUUCUUCUUAUUUUUUUUUUCGCUAGAUCAGUUUCUUUAAGAAAAACUGACCAAAAGAAUUUCCAGAUAAAAAACUGUCAAAGGCUGAUAUAGAACUAAUUUCAAAUCAGUAAUAAAAAAAUGUCUUCAUUCAAAACAAUCAUUCACUGAUUUGCUCAAAAAUCAGCGGCCAAAUAUUUAUACACUCGUACAAUUUUUUUUUGUUAUUUAUUAAAUCAGCGUAUAAGACAAUUUUAGGCAGCCCAAUUGCACAUAGAAUAUUACAAAUAAACGGAUACAUAGUUCUAGAUUCACACGAUGAUUAGAACAGUUUUGGUAUAUUUCCGGACCAAAAAAUCAGCCUAUUGCUCUGAUACCAAUGAAGGAACACGUUAAUCUAAACACAUUAGACAAUGCGUAAAUCGUAAAACGAGAACUUACUUGUUCUUCGUGAAGCGGAAGCGAAAACGAAUUGAAUCGCGGCUGGAAUCACUGAUCGGUAGUGGUUAUCACGGUGUGUUGGAGCAACCCCUAUUCCACAGUCUAAACCUUAACCAAAAUUGAGAGUGAACAUCGUAUAACUAAUAACCCUAUUGGGUCUUAAAGUACCCCUUAUGGGUGGACCCAAUUUUCCUACAGCAUAUUUGCACAAGUAGUAAACUCAACACCUUUACGUACUCCCUUCACGACAUUUAUGUUUACUAAUUAAAAGACGCUGGUAUCUUCAAGAAUGAACCCUUUCUAAAUUUGGAAAUAAUUUAGUAUAAACUUACAACUCUACCCUUAAUGAGAAACUUUUAUAACCACACAAAUACUCUGAGCCCCUUUUUAACUUGUUUAAGACCACAAAUUCCAAAAGUCUUCAUUUUUUUCUUAAACUCUGCGCCCAGUCAAACAGGUUCACAUAAAUUGAAACGGAGGGAGUUUGUUGUAAGUGAAGGUUAUUCCAUGUUUUAAAAUGAAGAAAUACUACUACAGUAUAUGAUAAGAAUAAGGGCGGGAAUGGAUUUAACAAAUAGCAAAGGAGUUUAUCAUUCACAGCACACUAGAAGAAUCUAUUACAGAAUGAAUAAUUUAUUUUUCUGUUGUCUUCGACAGAUUCUCGAUCUAAUCUCCUGCUUUUCAUCUGAUUCUUGAAUCUUGUCAAAGAGAUUACACUAAAUAAUAGAAACAGUCUGCUAUGACCAAUUAAUCAUUUAGUCGAAUUACCUCAAAUAUUCUUGGUUUCUGCCGGUAGUCAAUCAUCAACAACGAUAUGUUAAAUGCUAUUGAAAAAUUUGGGGUGUCAAACUACAUAAACAAAUUUCUUGUUAGUACGACAUGUUGAGGAAACGUAUCAAGAUAAUAGAAGGAAAAGGAUAUUUAGGAGAGAAACAAUAAAUUGCACAAGACAAGAUUUACAUGGUUCGACAAUUUUUGCCUACUCCACGGCCACACAAAGAAUAGCUCUUUAUUAAUUGAAGAGAGAAAGAAGAAGCUUUG